UCUGGUUGAUCCCGCCAGAGGUCACUGCUAUCGGGGUUCGAUUAAGCCAUGCGAGUCGAGAGGGUUCAGACCCUCGGCGGACUGCUCAGUAACACGUGGAUAAUCUGCCCUAUGGUGGAGGAUAACCCCGGGAAACUGGGGAUAAUACUCCAUAAGUCAGGAGUACUGGAAUGUCUCCUAACUGAAAGUUGCGGCGCCAUAGGAUGAAUCUGCGGCCAAUUAGGUAGUUGUUGGGGUAACGGCCCAACAAGCCUGUAAUCGGUACGGGUUGUGGGAGCAAGAGCCCGGAGAUGGAAUCUGAGACACGAUUCCAGGCCCUACGGGGCGCAGCAGGCGCGAAAACUUUACAAUGCAGGAAACUGUGAUAAGGGAACCCCGAGUGCCCGUAAACGCGGGCUGUCCCGGUGUUUAAAACACAUCGGAAGAAAGGGCCGGGCAAGACCGGUGCUAGCCGCCGCGGUAAUACCGGCGGCUCGAGUGGUGACCACUUUUAUUGGGCUUAAAGCGUUCGUAGCUUGAUUUUUAAGUCUCUUGGGAAAUCUCACGGCUUAACUGUGAGGCGUCUAAGAGAUACUGGGAAUCUAGGGACCGGGAGAGGUAAGAGGUACUUCAGGGGUAGAAGUGAAAUUCUGUAAUCCUUGAGGGACCACCGAUGGCGAAGGCAUCUUACCAGAACGGCUUCGACAGUGAGGAACGAAAGCUGGGGGAGCGAACGGGAUUAGAUACCCCGGUAGUCCCAGCCGUAAACUAUGCGCGUUAGGUGUGCCUGUAACUACGAGUUACCGGGGUGCCGAAGUGAAAACGUGAAACGUGCCGCCUGGGAAGUACGGUCGCAAGGCUGAAACUUAAAGGAAUUGGCGGGGGAGCACCACAACGGGUGGAGCCUGCGGUUUAAUUGGACUCAACGCCGGGCAGCUCACCGGAUAGGACAGCGGAAUGAUAGCCGGGCUGAAGACCUUGCUUGACCAGCUGAGAGGAGGUGCAUGGCCGUCGUCAGUUCGUACUGUGAAGCAUCCUGUUUAGUCAGGCAACGAGCGAGACCCA
RNAcentral lists this ribosomal RNA (1044 nucleotides) under uncultured archaeon. Its description in RNAcentral is "bacterial SSU rRNA". It matches the Rfam family "Archaeal small subunit ribosomal RNA", at positions 1 to 1054 of the family's 1478-position model. The record is from RNAcentral.